Long non-coding RNA from Astyanax mexicanus (Mexican tetra), 987 nucleotides. RefSeq lists it as uncharacterized. The record is from RefSeq and is a predicted model, not a curated record. The transcript is spliced from 3 exons. Lineage: Eukaryota; Metazoa; Chordata; Actinopteri; Characiformes; Acestrorhamphidae.
CAAUAGAGUAGCAUGAUUUGGUUGAUGAAGAGGCCAUCCAAAAAGUGUUCUGGAACUAAGUGGCCAAGCCCAACUCCUGGAGAUGUGUAGUGAUGAACUCUGAAGCUACAUGAGGUUUGGAGGUGUGUAGUGAUGAUCUAAUCUGAAGCUACAUGAAGGUUGGAGAUGUGUAGUGAUGAACUCUGAAGCUACAUGAAGUUUGGAGAUGUGUAGUGAUGAACUCUGAAGCUACAUGAAGUUUGAAGGUGUGUAGUGAUGAACUCUGAAGCUACAUGAAGUUCGGAGGUGUGUAGUGAUGAACUCUGAAGCUACAUGAAGUUUAGAGGUGUGUAGUGAUGAACUCUGAAGCUACAUGAAGUUUAGAGGUGUGUAGUGAUGAACUCUGAAGCUACAUGAAGUUUGGAGGUGUGUAGUAUUGAACUCUGAAGCUACAUGAAGUUUGGAGGUGUGUAGUGAUGAGCUCUGAAGCUAAAUGAAGUUUGGAGGUGUGUAGUGAUGAACUCUGAAGCUACAUGAAGUUUGGAGGUGUGUAGUGAUGAACUCUGAAGCUACAUGAAGUUUGGAGGUGUGUAGUGAUGAUCUCUGAAGCUACAUGAAGUUUGGAGGUGUGUAGUGAUGAACUCUGAAGCUACAUGAAGUUUGGAGGUGUGUAGUGAUGAACUCUGAAGCUACAUGUAGUUUGGAGGUGUGUAGUGAUGAACUCUGAAGCUACAUGGAGUUUGGAGGUGUGUAGUGAUGAUCUCUGAAGCUACAUGAAGUUUGGAGGUGUGUAGUGAUGAACUCUGAAGCUACAUGAAGUUUGGAGGUGUGUAGUGAUGAACUCUGAAGCUACAUGAAGUUUGGAGGUGUGUAGUGAUGAACUCUGAAGCUACAUGAAGUUUGGAGGUGUGUAGUGAUGAACUCUGAAGCUACAUGAAGUUUGGAGGUGUGUAGUGAUGAACUCUGAAGCUACAUGAAGUUUGGAGGUGUGUAGUGAUGAACUCUGAA